UACGUAGGGGGCGAGCGUUGUCCGGAAUUAUUGGGCGUAAAGAGCUCGUAGGCGGUGUGUCACGUCGGCCGUGAAAACCUGCAGCUUAACUGUGGGCGUGCGGUCGAUACGGGCAUCACUGGAGUUCGGCAGGGAGGACUGGAAUUCCUGGUGUAGCGGUGAAAUGCGCAGAUAUCAGGAGGAACACCGGUGGCGAAGGCGGGUCUCUGGCCGAUACUGACGCUGGAGGAGCGGAAAGCGUGGGGAGCGAACAGG
Molecule: ribosomal RNA, 255 nt
Filed under: uncultured bacterium
Lineage: Bacteria
Description: partial 16S ribosomal RNA
Rfam family: Bacterial small subunit ribosomal RNA
Source: RNAcentral